RNAcentral lists this ribosomal RNA (376 nucleotides) under uncultured bacterium. RNAcentral describes it as "bacterial SSU rRNA". It matches the Rfam family "Bacterial small subunit ribosomal RNA", at positions 524 to 898 of the family's 1533-position model. The record is from RNAcentral.
UACGUAGGGUGCGAGCGUUAAUCGGAAUUACUGGGCGUAAAGCGUGCGCAGGCGGUUGUGUAAGUCAGAUGUGAAAUCCCCGGGCUCAACCUGGGAACUGCAUUUGAGACUGCACGGCUAGAGUGUGGCAGAGGGGGGUGGAAUUCCACGUGUAGCAGUGAAAUGCGUAGAGAUGUGGAGGAACACCGAUGGCGAAGGCAGCCCCCUGGGCCAAUACUGACGCUCAUGCACGAAAGCGUGGGGAGCAAACAGGAUUAGAUACCCUGGUAGUCCACGCCCUAAACGAUGUCAACUAGGUGUUGGUGGGGUUAAACCCAUUAGUGCCGUAGCUAACGCGUGAAGUUGACCGCCUGGGGAGUACGGCCGCAAGGCUAAA